AGUCAACGCCCCGCCCCUGCCCCGCCUCCUGAGCCCUUCUCUGAGUCUGGCCUUAGUCCCCCCGCCAUAUUGGGAGACAUAUCAGCCUCUCCUCUCCAUGGAUAUUAGGAAGAAUAUCCCAGGAUGGGUGUACACCUCCUGCUGUAUGGGGAGUCAUAUCGUCCUCUCCCUUCCUGGCUACUAGGAACAAUUUCAGAGGGUGGGUGUACACAGCCUGCGAUAUUGUGAGUAAUAUCACCCUCUCCCCCUCCGGAUAUUAGGAACAAUGUCACAGAAGGGGUGUACAUUUCCUGUGAUACCGGGAGUAAUAGCAUUCUCUUCUUCCGUGAGUAUGAGGAGGAAUAUCACCGGGUGGAUGCACACCCAGUGCUAUAUUGGGAGUAACGUCAUACGCCAUCCACUGGAGAUGAGAUUCGGAUCAAUAUCACCGGCUGGGUGUACAGCUACUGCGAUAUUGAACGUAAUAUCAUGCUCUCUCCCUUCCUGGACAUUAGGAGCAAUAUCACAGCUCAUUUACGACCCAAAACGGGGAUCCAAAUGCCCCUGAGAGAGCAGCGGUAUACUUGGAUAGAGGAGGAUGGUCACGUAGUGGAGAGGCGUGUUUCUGGGUACCAGCCCUUCACCUCUGCCGACCUUCUCAACUGGGAAAACAAUACACCGCCCUCUACCGAAAAGCCACAAACCCUAAUUGAUUGGCUCCAAACUGUUAUCCAGACCCACAACACCAUCUGGGCUGAUUGCCACCAGUGGCUCAUGUUCCUCUUUAACAGAGAUGAAAGGUGGAGAGUCCUCCAAGCAGCAACUAAGUGGCUAGAGGAACAUGCACCAGCUGAUUAUCAAAACCCCCAAGAGUAUGGAAGGACCCAGUGACCAGGAACCGACCCCCAGAUGGACCCACAUGAAAGAGAGGAUAUGCAAAGGCUAAACCGAGACAGGGAAGCUCUCUUGGAAGGAUUAAAGAGGGGAGCUCAGAAGGCCACAAACGUUAACAAGGUCUCUGAGGUCAUUCAGGGAAAAAGAAGAAAGUCCAGCACAAUUAUACGAGAGACUGUGUAAGGCCAAUCAUAUGUAUACUCUCUUUGAUCCCCAUAGCCCUGAAAUCAGCACGUGAUUCAUAUGGCUUUAGUCGGUCAAAGUGCUGGCUCUUCGCUUUACAAAUGUAAAUCCUGAGGCUGCAAUCCUAAGUUGUUAGCUCAAGGUCAUGCAACUGUACAUUACCAUAUUCUAUGACCAUACUCUUCAUCAUUAGUAAGUAGACAAAGAUCUUUAUAGUUUUCUUUUUUUUUUUUUUUUUGAGAUGGAGUCUCCUUCUGUCGCCCAGGCUGGAGUGCAGUGGCGGGAUCUUGGCUCACUGCAAGCUCUGCCUCCUGGGUUCACACCAUUCUCCUGCCUCAGCCUUCUGAGCAGCUGGGGCUACAGGCACCCGCCACCACUCCCAGCUAAUUUUUUGUAUUUUUUAGUAGAGACAGGGUUUCACCCUGGUAGCCAGGAUGGUCUUGAUUUCCUAACCUCAUGAUCCACCUUCCUCGGCCUCCCAAAGUGCUAGGAUUUUAGGCAUGGGUCACUGUGCCCAGCCUGCUGGGAGACUUCUAUGUCUACUUCCCAUCGGUCAUUAGUGGAGGGGCUUCCAUGGGGGGCAUUAUUCCUUGACACUUCCAGUUUGCCCAGCAAGAGGCAAAGGACUCCAGAGGCAAGAGAAAGACCUUGGGCCACAAGACCCAUAUCUGGCAUCUCAAAGCAAUGUUCUAGUAAAGACAUAAAUGCCAGGAGCGGGUAUAAGUGGAGCACUAAGACUAUCUACUAUAAGAAAAUAUGUCACUAGUCUAACCAUUGGGAUGAUUUCAAAGGUGUUUUCCCACACUUAAUGGUGAUCACACCACAGUUAUUAUGGACAGAGGCCAGGUGUGGUGGCUCACACCUGAAAUGGCAGCACUUUGGGAGGCUGAGGUGGGCAGAUCACAUGAGGUCAGGAGUUUGAGACCACCCUGGCCAACGUGAUGAAACCAUAUCUCUACUAAAAAUAUAAAAAUUAGAUGGGUAUGGUAGUGCACACCUGUAAUUCUAGCUACUUGGGAGGCUGAGGCAUGAGAAUCACUUGAACCCGGGAGGCAGUGUUUGCAGUGAACUGAGAUUGCACCACUGCACUCCAGCCUGGGAGACUCUGUCUCAAAAUAAAAUAAAAUGGACAAAAAGAGCAGGACCAAGAAAGUACAACUUUAAUGCAUCUGCAGCCAGUUCUUAGAACAGGACAAGGUGAUUAGCAGAUACCAAUUCUCAUGGCUUUUGUGUUUCACAAAACAUUAAACUGCAGACUGCAUCUUGAAUUAUUUCAUCAAAUGACAAACACUUACACGAUGUAGAAGGAAAUGAUGAAUUCUUAAAAUAUAAUUGACAAGUAAUACAAAGAAGACAGGCUAGUAAGCAUAAAUUUUCACUUUGUGGACUUCCUUGUCAUCACAUUCCCUCUGUUUGUUGUAGUAAUAGAACGUAUUGUCCCUUCUCUGAAGUUUCUUCACAUAUCCUGUCUCCGGCCAACGAUCUACCUGCACAUCAAGAACCAGAGUACAAACGUUACAAUGCAGGGUUGAUUUUUAUCUCAUAUUUUACUAUCAAAUAGUUAAAAAGUAUGACUUACACAAACAAAGUAUAAGAUUAGAUUUUAGAAUGCUUGAGCUUUUAAAAUAUUAUAUGCACAAGACACAUCUUACAUUGCAGCCUUAUGCUAUAAGAUAACUAAUUCAGGCCGAGUGCGGUAGCUCAUUCCUGUAAUCCCAGCACUUUGGGAGGCUGAGGCAGGUGGAUCAAUUGAGGUCAGGAGUUCAAGACCAACCUGGCCAACAUGGUGAAACAAUGCCUCUACUAAAAAUACAAAAAUUAGCUGGGCGUGGUGGUAGGUGCCUAUAAUCCCAGGUACUCAGGGGGCUGAGGCAGAAGAAUCCAUUGAACUCUAGAGGCAGGGGUUGCAGUGACCCUAGAUGGCGCCACUGCACUCCAGCCUGGGUGACAGAACAAGACCCUGUCUCGGAAAAAAAAAAAAAAAGGACAACUAAUUCAGUGCUUUUCUCUAGAGCCCAAUUUCUAGGUUUAUUUUAUUUUAUUUUAUUUUAUUUUAUUUUAUUUUGGAGACAGAGUCUUGCUACACUGCCCAGGCUGUCCUCGAACUGAUCCAGCCAAGUGAUCCUCCCAGCUCGGCCUCCCAAGUGCUGGAAUUACAGGCCUGAGCCACUGCACCCAGCUCCAAUUUCUAGAUUUAAAUUUCAAUACUGUGGCCAAGAUAAGACAAAACAUUCAAAGUAAUCUAAACUUCAUUUCUCUUAUGUUUACAAAAGAUUUCAAACAUUCUAGCUUCUAAAAUUAAUAUCACAGGAGGAAAUUAGGGCUAAGCCCAGGCUCCAUUUUGUAAGUGCUGCCUGCUGAUUGUCGAUGACUACACAGUGAAUAAAGCAAGCAACUCAAGAACUAUCCAAAUGUGUAUAUGCAUUUCCUUCUGCCCCAAUUUCAAGUUCACCUUGAAAUCCACUUUUUUUUUUUUUUUUUUUGAAACAGGGUCUCACUCUGUCUCCCAGGCUGUAGUGCGGUGUUGCGAUCAUAGCUCACUACAGCCUCAACCUCCUGGGCUCAGGGGAUCCUCCAGCCUCUGCCUCCCGAGUAGUUAGAACUACAGGUAUGCACCACCAUGCCCAGAUAAGUUUUCUAUUUUUCUUUUUUUUUUGUAGAGACAGGGUCUCACUAUGUUGCCCAGGCUGGUCUCAAACUCCUGGCCUAAAGCAGUCCUCCUACCUUGGCCUCCCAAAGUGUCAAAAAUCUUUUUUUUAAUUUCUCCUACCAUUCUUUAUUGUUAUUAUUAUUAUUAUUAUUAUUAUUAUUAUUAUAUGUUGCCAAGGUUGGUCUCAAACUCCUGGUCUCAAGUGAUCCUCCUGUCUUGGCUUUCCAAAAUGUUGGGAUUACAGGUGUGAGCCACUGUCCCCAGUCAUCUCCUACCAUUCCUUCUUGUAUACCAUAUUGGUUUAUCUACUUUAUCAUUUGGCUUGAUCUAAUUUGGAGAUCUGUCUCUCCACUUCCUCUUCAAUGUUAUCCCUUCCUGGCCAGGUUAAUGUAUUUCGCUACUGUCAAAUAUAUUCCUUUCAGAUUUUGUGAGAUGCACUUUAUCAUGACCAAAAACUCAUUAUCUAGGUUGUAGAAAACCAAAUCCUGCUCUUCAACACCAUCUAUACAGGCAGUCCUGCACCCUUUCUCCAAAUCCUCUUCUUCAACACCUUCUAUACAGGUAGUCCUGCACCUUUUCUGUUCCCCAUGAAUAAAUCUCAGCUUUCAGUAGGAAGAGAAGAUGAAUAUACCAUCUGUGUCCACAUGUCUUUUACUUUCUAAUAACACAUCUUCAUUUUUUGUGUCAUCUCAUUUACUUAUGAAUUAGCGAGAAUAGGUAACAGCAUAUCUGAGAAACCUUGGCAGGCCCUUUGACAUACAUUACAGAAAACCAGCAGUCCUUUCCACCACUGAGGCCACACCUGCCUGUGUGGCUUCCAAUACCUUUGGCAGGGAAAGGAGGUGUUCUCAAGACUCCAUUACAGACCGCUUUCCUCCUGGGGCCAGGAGCAGAUUAUCUGAAAACCAUCUGAUCCGGUGAGAAAACAGUAGAACCAAUGCCUCUUCUGAACAUCUGGAGCUGAGCUACUUGAUAUGGGACAAUCCUUAGGACAGCUAGGUUGGUCCUAUGCUUGUUGACUUCUAGACAUUUUUCCUUUUGAUGCCCCUUGGCAUCUCUGAACUUUCUUUUCUUCUUGACUUUCAACUUGAUCAUUUCCAUUUGAUCUGAGAAACUUUCUUGCCUGUGGUGGAAUGGAAUGAGAUCCUCAAGUUUAAGGACUUUCCCCUCAGGAGGGAAGGUCAGCAAGCACUAUACCACCAGGUAAUGAAAAACAGCUUCUCUCAGACCCUCAAACCACUGCACACUGGGAGAAACAUCCCACCCAAAGUAAGCCUUCUGUCACCAUCCUAUCCAUCCCUGAAGACCCACUGCAAAUGCCACUGGGGACAUUAAGCCCUCUCUGGGGAUUGUCCCUGGAAGGAAGUGAUUUUGUUUUCCUCUAAAUUCCUGUGCUUCUUUUUGUUAAGGAACAUAUACUUCGAUUUGUGUAAGGUUUUAUUGUUCUUGUUAAUUAUUUUAGAAUCUAAGAUGAUGAGAUUAAUAAAAGUUAUCAUUUACUAAA
Molecule: long non-coding RNA, 5210 nt
Organism: Pan troglodytes (chimpanzee)
Lineage: Eukaryota; Metazoa; Chordata; Mammalia; Primates; Hominidae
Exons: 2
Source: RefSeq, a predicted model, not a curated record